CAGUAGCCGCGGGAAUACGGAGGAUCCAAGCGUUAUCCGGAAUCAUUGGGUUUAAAGGGUCCGUAGGCGGUCUUGUAAGUCAGUGGUGAAAGCCCAUCGCUCAACGGUGGAACGGCCAUUGAUACUGCAGGACUUGAAUUAUUGGGAAGUAACUAGAAUAUGUAGUGUAGCGGUGAAAUGCUUAGAGAUUACAUGGAAUACCAAUUGCGAAGGCAGGUUACUACCAAUUGAUUGACGCUGAUGGACGAAAGCGUGGGUAGCGAACAGGAUUAGAUACCCCUGUAGUCCCUGUCUCUUAUAC
This 301-nucleotide ribosomal RNA is filed under the name uncultured bacterium. RNAcentral describes it as "partial 16S ribosomal RNA". It matches the Rfam family "Bacterial small subunit ribosomal RNA", at positions 509 to 807 of the family's 1533-position model. The record is from RNAcentral.